This 3101-nucleotide long non-coding RNA is filed under the name Homo sapiens (human). RNAcentral describes it as "non-protein coding lnc-NIPSNAP1-3:2". Lineage: Eukaryota; Metazoa; Chordata; Mammalia; Primates; Hominidae. The record is from RNAcentral.
GAUAACCUGUGCAGCUUGUUUCAUAUAUUGUGGGAGCUUUGUUUGUUUGCUCCUUGUUUGGGUCCACAGUGCUUUUAUGAGCUGUAAUAUUACCUGCAAAGGUCUGCAGCUUAAGUCCUGAAGCCAGCGAGACUACGAACCCACCGGGAGAAAGGAACAACUCCAGAAGCGCCGCCUUAAGAGCUGUAACAGUCACUGCGGAAGUGUGGAGUUUCACUUCUGAGCCGGUGACCAUGAACCCACCAGAAGGAAGAAACGCGGAACACAUCAGAACAUUAGAAGGAACAAACUUUGGACACGUCGCCUUUAAGAACUGUGACACUCAACAUGAGGGUCCUCGGCUUCAUUCUUGAAGUCAGUGAGACUGAGAACCCACCAAUCCCGGACACAGGACUACAGGCAUGCACCGUCACGCAACGUUAAUUUUUUUUUUUUGGUAGAGACAGUUUUGUGAUGUUGCCCAGGCUGGUCUCCGGGGUUCAAGCCAUUUUUCUGUCUCAGCCUCCCAAAGUGCUGGAAUUACAGAUGCGAGCCACUGUGCUUGGCCUUCUGAGGCUCAGUGAGGUAACCCGACUCAUUAAACAUCACCUGACCCAGAUGACCUUGCAUGGUCAGAGGCUCAGCCAAGGCACCACACUGGGGUACUGAAGCUGAAUGAAAGCAGGCUGCAGAUUGGAUAACGGACUUCGGCAAAGAGUUAUGAAGGUGGAUUCCAUGAGGGCAGCUUUGGGAAGGGAAGAGGGCAGGAGAGGAGGGGUCGGCUCUCUGCAGGGAGAGGAGGGGUGGGUGGGAGACAUGUUCAGGAGAAAAAGAUGUCACAGACAUAGUGGUGGGCAGAAAGGAACUUCAGAGAGAGAGAGAUCCUAGGACAGAGGACAGUGGGGACUCUGGGGAGGCCUUGUAGAAGACAGCUUGAAGAACUGAGUCCAACCCUAAUAAUUAAGUUGGGCCUAGUACAAAAGCUAAUUGUGCUAGCCAGCCUCCAGGAUGUCCCACGUGACUCUCGCAUGUUGAUAUUUACACCUAUUGGUUAGACAUGCAGCCCUGCUCACGUAUUGAUAUUUAUAUUCUGAGCAUGGAUGGCGCAUGCCUGCAGUCCUAGUGACUCAGGAGGCUGAGUCAGGGGGACUGCUUGAGCCCAGGAGUUGGAGACUUCAGUGAGCUAUGAUUGUGCCACUGCACUCCAGCCUGGGCAACAGAACAAGACCCUGACUCCUGCAGAGGAGGGCUCCAUGUCCAACCAAUGGGAUGUACAAAAACGACAGUGUGACUUCCAAGGUCAGAUCACAAAAGUCCUUGAAGGUUUCACCUUACUGGAUCACUUGCUCUGGGGGAAGCCAGCCGCCAUGUGGUGAAGACACUCAAGCAGCCCUCUGGAGAAGCCCAUGUAGCAAGGAACUGAGGUCUCCUGCCAACUACCAGCGCUAACUUGCCAGCCUUGUGAGACCCCCAGAGAAGGAACCGCCCCAGCUAACCACCCACUCCAGAAUUCCUGACCCUCAGGAACUGUGUGAGAUCAUAAAUGCUGAUUGUUUCAAGCUGCUAAGAUUUGGGGUAAUUUAUUCCAUAGUAAUUGGAAAUUGUCUAAAUCUCUAUUUGUGGAAUUUUUCUUUUUUUCUUUUUUUUUUUUUUAAAGACAAGAUCUCCCUCUGUUGCCCAGGCUGGAGUGGCAUGGCAUGAUCAUGGCUCACUGAAGCCUUGACUUCUUGGGCUUAGGCAAUACUCUGGCCUCAGCCUCCCGAGUAGCUGGGACUACAGGCACACACCACCAGCUAAUAUUUUAAAAUUAUUUUUAUAGAGAUGGGGUCUUCCUAUGUUACCCAGGCUGGUCUUAAACUCUGGCCUCAAGUGAUCCUCCUGCCUCAGCUUCCCAAAGUGCUGGGAUUAUAGGUGUGAGCUACUGUGCUCAGCCACAUUUUUACUGGUGGAAUUUUUUUUUUUUUUUUUUUUUUGGAGACAGGGUCUGACUCUGUCACCCAGGCUGGAGUGCAGUGAUAUGAUAUUGGCUUACUGCAACCUCCGCCUCCUGGAUUCAAGCCAUCCUCCCACCUCAGCCUCCUGAAUUGCUGGGACUACAGGUGUGCACCACCACACCCAGUUAAUGUUUGCAUUUUUUGUAGAGAUGGGGUUUUGUCAUGUUGCCCAGGUUGGUCUCGAACUCCUGAGCUCAAAGCUAUCUGCCCACCUCGGCCUCCCAAAGUGGGAUUACAGGCAUGAGCUAUCCCACCCGGCCUAUUGAUGGAAUUUUAUCCUAACUGGUUUGCUGACCAGAAUACAGCAACUGGUUUGCUACACAGAAUGAAUGGUCUGUGGGUAAGGACAGUUCACAUCAGGUGCCCAGUUAACCAGCAUUGUAUGUCACUGAGUGCCACAAAGAGAGCCCAGUUCCACCCUCACUCUUUUUUUUUCUUUUUCUUUUUUUUUUUUUUUUGAGAUGGAGUUUUGCUCUUGUUGCCCAGGCCGGAGUGCAAUAGCGCACUCUGGGCUCACCACAACCUCCGCCUCCCAGGUUCAAGCGAUUCUCCUGCCUCAGCUUCUCGAGUAGCUGGGAUUACAGGCACGUGCCACCAUGCCCAGCUAAUUUUGUAGUUUUAGUAGAGACGGGGUUUCUCCACAUUGGUCAGGCUAGUCUCGAACUCCUGACCUCAGGUGAUCUGCCCACCUUGGCCUCCCAAAGUGCUGGAAUUACAGGCGUGAGCCACCGUGCCCGGCAUACCCCUUUUCUUUUAGAGUGAACGUCUUGUUCUGUUGUUCAGGCUGGAGUGCAGUGGCAUGACCAUAGCUCACUGCAGCCUCCAACUCCUGGGCUCAAGCAGUGCUCCCACCUCAGCCUCCUGAAUAGCUGGGACUACAGGCACACAUUACCAUACCCAGUUCAUUUUUAAAAAUUUUUAGUAGAGACAAGGGUCUCACUAUGUUGCCCAGGUUGGUCUUGAAAUCCUGGCCUCAAGUAAUCCUCCUGCCUGGGCCUCCCAGUGUGCUGCGAUUACAUGUGUGAGCCACUGAGCUUGGACCCCAUCCCUGCUCUCUUUCUUCCUUUCCUUUUCCUUUUCCUUUCCUUUCUGUCUUUCUUUCUUUUGUUUUUUUGUUUUGUUUUGUUU